Molecule: ribosomal RNA, 241 nt
Filed under: uncultured bacterium
Lineage: Bacteria
Description: partial 16S ribosomal RNA
Rfam family: Bacterial small subunit ribosomal RNA
Source: RNAcentral
GGCCCUACGGGAGGCAGCAGUGAGGAAUAUUGGUCAAUGGCCGGGAGGCUGAACCAGCCAAGUCGCGUGAGGGAGGACGGCCCUACGGGUUGUAAACCUCUUUUGUCAGGGAGCAAGGUGCAGGUCGUGACCUGUUGUGAGAGUACCUGAAGAACAAGCCCCGGCUAACUACGUGCCAGCAGCCGCGGUAAAACGUAGGGGGCGAGCGUUGUCCGGAAUGACUGGGCGUAAAGGGUGCGUA